GUACGACCCACUGCUUAGUAUAUGCACGUGCUUCGGUGCGAGCAAUAUACAUUAAACUAUAGAGACCGCUGUUUCUUCUUUAAACCAGAGGAAGGAUACGGCAAUAACAGGUCUGUGAUGCCCUCAGAUGUUCCGGGCUGCACACGUGCUACAAUGAUCAUUGCACUGUGCAUCUAACCCAAUGUGCGUGGACGCCGCAUGCAUGUACUCCUUGUGGGUACACGCAUUGCUGAGCGACCACGCCGAACCUACUUCGAAAGUAAAAUUUCUCUGUGGGUAAUCCAUUAGAAGUAAUGACUCGCAUAGACCAUGGCACACCAAAUGUACGCGCAGGUCUACCCGGCUCGCCUUUGUGUGAGUGCAGUGCGUAGCUUGUUGUUUCGUACGUGCCACUCCGUAUUAAUUCGUACGUGGGGAUAGAUCAUUGUUUAAUUGUUGGUCUCGGUCUUAACUAGGAAUGCCUUGUACGGGUCUCUGGUUCAACAUACCACCCGGAAUACGUCCCUGCCCUUUGUACACACCGCCCGUCGCUCUUACCGAUGGAUUAUGCUAUGAAUCUAUAGGACUGCCAAAGUUGCCUCGGCUGCUUAGUGGAAAUAUAUAUGAAUAGCGGAUCUAAAGAAAG
RNAcentral lists this ribosomal RNA (625 nucleotides) under Ammonia sp. T2B. RNAcentral describes it as "SSU rRNA". It matches the Rfam family "Eukaryotic small subunit ribosomal RNA", at positions 1362 to 1782 of the family's 1831-position model. Lineage: Eukaryota; Foraminifera; Rotaliida; Rotaliidae. The record is from RNAcentral.